RNAcentral lists this long non-coding RNA (2514 nucleotides) under Gossypium barbadense (sea-island cotton). RNAcentral describes it as "long non-coding RNA (GBAR_LNC016248)". Lineage: Eukaryota; Viridiplantae; Streptophyta; Magnoliopsida; Malvales; Malvaceae. The record is from RNAcentral.
AAAAAAAAAAAACUUAUAUUAAGUUUGAUUCGAACAAUUGAAUUUAAAUAUUAUGAUGUCUCGAGUUUAAAUCCUAUAAUAUAUAUAAUUUUUAAUUUUUAUAUAAAAAUAUUAUAAAAUUACCCUCAAAUUAAUAUAUUUUACUUUAUAAAAAUAAUAAAAUCAAAAAUAAGAUUUAGGUAUUAUCAAUUCAAUCAUACUCUUAAUAUAUAAUACAAAACUUUUGGAAAACUGGACAUUAUACAGGAAAAAGAUAGUCUAGCCGCCUGGUCCCUCACAUAUCCCUUAGCCAAGAAAAUCAUGGAAAUGUUAGGCAGCCUCGGAAUGGUAAUUUAAUUAAUUUAUAUAAUUAUUUUUAAAAACAACACUUAAUAAAUUUAAGAUAUUUAAGAAGGAAAAAAGUUCUAGCAAAUAAAAUUUUAGUUGGGUUAUGGUAAAGUUACAGUAUUCAAGAUCAAGUUUCAUUUCGUAUAAAUUCGAUCUAAUCUAUUUUUGCAAUGAUUAAAUUCUACAUGUAAUGAUUCGAAUGUUGUAUAAUCUUUAUAAUUGUUCAUAUGAUUGUAUUUUUGAUUUUCUAAAAAAAUAUCGAAUUUAUACAUAAAUUUUAGUUUAAUAUACAAUUUGAUACAUGUUUUUUGAUUUGGUGGAACUAUAUACAUGAAAUUUGAAUUACGGUUUAUAUGUAUACAUAAAACUUUUGAUUCAACUGUGCACAUUUAAAGAAAUGAAUACAUAUAUUUAUUUUUAUAUUGGAUUAAUAUAAUUGUUUAUGUGUGCAAUAUAUUAAUGUAAAAUGGUGCUAAUACGAUAACGUUGUCAAUGAUUUGUGGUAAUUGAAUCAAAUCAAAUUUCACGUAUGACAUUACACACGGGAUCAAAGUUCAUGUAUAAUUUUAAUAUUUCUCUUCAUUCUUUAAAAAUUCUUUUAUAUAAAAAUUUUAAUAAAAAUAGGAUUUAGUUCUAAAUAUUGUAUUAAUAUUUUAUUUAAUACCCCGUCAUUGUACAUAUUGUAUGCAUCAUUAAUUAAUAAUAAAAUGAGACUUGGUGUAAAAUAAAAAAAAAACAUUGAAGGGCUUGACUUUUUAAACAUAAUCAAAUAUAAAAUAUAAAUAUUUUAUUUUUCUUUUGGAUUUUAAAUUUUAGAUUUUAACUUUUGGGUUUGAAUCCGAAUUUUAAAAUCUGAAUUUGGUAUUUGAUUUUUAUUGUUAAACUAUUAAAAUUAAUAUUAAUUUUUAUAAAAUAUUCAAUAUAGUUGAUUUUACUGCAUGAAAUAUUAUCACUUAAAAUAUUAGGCUACUUCAUAUGAGUUAUUGUAGUAUGAUUAUUUUAUUGUCUGCUUAGCUAGCAUGUCACUGGGAUUGGGGUGCUGCCAUCAUAUAUUCAACUAUUGGAACCUCUCCAGCUAUUUCUCGUAACAUGCAUGAAAUACCACUCACACAUUCAAAACUGGACUGUUUUUUAUUUUUUUUUCUAAUAUUGUUUCAUUUAUUAAUGGCCUUUGACUUUGACGAAGGUUAAAAACAAGUUUUAAGUGGGAUUUACCAUGAUUACAUUACAUUACGUACAUGGUAAACCCAAAAUCUAUAUAAAGGCAGUGGAGGGGUUGUUUAAGAGCAGAGCCAAACCCCAGUGUUUGUAGCAAAUAUGGGGUCUCCAAUCACCUCCCACUUUCUCACUCUCCUCCUCUUCAUCAUCUCUCUUAGCUUGCCUUCUCAAACUCUAGCAAAUUACCCUUACUCAUCUCCUCCUCCUCCGCCUCCUAAGGAGUACUCACCACCCCCUUACUACUACAAGUCACCACCUCCUCCUCCUCCGGUCUACUCCCCACCACCACCCAAGGAGCCUUACAAGUAUAAGUCUCCACCACCUCCUCCACCAGUGCAUUAUCCUCCACCCCCUUACGAGUACAAGUCUCCUCCGCCACCCCCGCCAUCACCACCCAAGCAUCCCUAUAAGUACAAGUCUCCACCUCCACCAUCACCACCCAAGCACCCUUACAAGUACAAGUCUCCACCACCCCCACCAUCACCACCCAAGCACCCCUACAAGUACAAGUCUCCUCCACCACCUCCACCAUCACCACCCAAGCACCCCUACAAGUAUAAGUCUCCACCACCCCCACCAUCACCACCCAAGCAUCCUUACAAGUACAAGUCUCCACCACCACCACCACCAUCACCACCCAAGCACCCCUACAAGUACAAGUCUCCUCCACCUCCACCAUCACCACCCAAGCAUCCUUACAAGUACAAGUCUCCACCACCACCACCAUCACCACCCAAGCACCCCUACAAGUACAAGUCUCCUCCACCCCCACCAUCACCACCCAAGCACCCUUACAAGUACAAGUCUCCACCACCACCUCCACCAUCACCACCCAAGCACCCUUACAAGUACAAGUCUCCACCCCCACCAUCACCACCCAAGCAUCCCUACAAGUACAAGUCUCCACCCCCACCCCCACCCCCACCCUCACCACCCAAGCACCCCUACAAGUACAAGUCUCCACCCCCA